RNAcentral lists this ribosomal RNA (467 nucleotides) under uncultured archaeon. RNAcentral's name for it is "bacterial SSU rRNA". It matches the Rfam family "Archaeal small subunit ribosomal RNA", at positions 1 to 473 of the family's 1478-position model. The record is from RNAcentral.
UUCUGGUUGAUCCUGCCGGAGGUCACUGCUAUUGGGAUUCGACUAAGCCAUGCGAGUCGAGAGGGUUCGGCCCUCGGCAGACGGCUCAGUAACACGUGGAUAAUCUGCUCUUAGGUGGAGGAUAACCUCGGGAAACUGAGAAUAAUACUCCAUAGAUCUAAGAUGCUGGAAUGCACUUAGGUUAAAAGCUACGGCGCCUAAGGAUGAGUCUGCGGACUAUCAGGUAGUAGUCAGGGUAAAGGCCUGACUAGCCUACGACGGAUACGGGUUGUGAGAGCAAUAACCCGGAGACGAUAUCUGAGACACGAUAUCGGGCCCUACGGGGCGCAGCAGGCGCGAAACCUUCACAAUGUGCGAAAGCACGAUGAGGGAAUCCCAAGUGCUUGCUCGUAAGAGUAAGCUGUUUUUAUGUGUAAAAAGCAUAGAGAGUAAGGGCUGGGUAAGACGGGUGCCAGCCGCCGCGGUAA